GAUGAACGCUGGCGGCGUGCUUAACACAUGCAAGUCGAGCGAAGCACUUACCAUUGACUCUUCGGAAGAUUUGGUAAAUGACUGAGCGGCGGACGGGUGAGUAACGCGUGGGUAACCUGCCUCAUACAGGGGAAUAACAGUUAGAAAUGGCUGCUAAUGCCGCAUAAGCGCACAGUACCGCAUGGUACGGUGUGAAAAACCGAGGUGGUAUGAGAUGGACCCGCGUCUGAUUAGGUAGUUGGUGGGGUAACGGCCUACCAAGCCGACGAUCAGUAGCCGGCCUGAGAGGGUGAACGGCCACAUUGGGACUGAGACACGGCCCAGACUCCUACGGGAGGCAGCAGUGGGGAAUAUUGCACAAUGGGGGAAACCCUGAUGCAGCGACGCCGCGUGAAGGAAGAAGUAUCUCGGUAUGUAAACUUCUAUCAGCAGGGAAG
Molecule: ribosomal RNA, 437 nt
Filed under: uncultured bacterium
Lineage: Bacteria
Description: bacterial SSU rRNA
Rfam family: Bacterial small subunit ribosomal RNA
Source: RNAcentral